UCAAAAUCGUAAAAAAAAAGUUCGUAAAUAUCACGGUUAUUAAAUAUAAAUAAAAGAACUAUAUAGCCUAGUUCAAAGAGGACGUGAAAUAAAAGAAUUAAGUGAAAGUGUAACAGAGUUACAGCAAGUACAAUUGCUAAGUGAUAUUUAUUUGCACCCUAAAUGGAAGCCACAAGUAAUAACAACGCACAAAGGAGCAAAAUAAUAAAGCAUCUGGGAUACUGUUUAGCCUUUCGGCUGACCUUGUUUAAUCGAUUUUUUGCAUGAUCAAACCUCCUCUCAAUUCGAUCAGCAUCAUUAUUCAUAUUAUCUAGUAAAACAUUUUGUUCGGACAAUUCUGUAUUCAUUGCAUAUCCCAUCCGCUUUUGCCUUUGGACACUUGCUUCGAUCCCUCCUAAAGAUUCUUCUUGUUCGUUGAGCAUUUGCUGAUGCAUUUGAGCCAAAACGUUUACGUUUAUGGGAUCAGGGUCAUUGCCAUCAACCGGAUACAUGGCCUCCAUCUCAAUAUCAGAUCCCUCACUACUCGAAGUCGUUUUUUGUAAAGAAGGAAGGGGAGUUAACUUAUUAUUCGUACUUGCAACUUGCGGGUUUGCAGAAAAGGCACUUGUUCCGUCAGCAGGAAUUGAGGAUGCACGCCGCUGCUUCUCAAACUCUUCCUCAGCAGACUCUAACCUCCUUUGCAUUCUAAUAAGAAAUGCUUCGGAUUCUCGUACUCUGUACUCUGGGAUUUGUGCAUUUUUCUCUAAUCGCGAUUGCUCCUCAUUAAGUUUUUGCAAUUCUUGCCGAACAUCUUUCAAUGAAGACUCAAUUUCUUCAUCGGGAUUCUGUCCAAACUCUUCCAACUUCCUCCUGUCUCUUAUUUUUUGUGAAACCGAGUCAAUGAUCAGAAG
Non-coding RNA from Schizosaccharomyces pombe (fission yeast), 890 nucleotides. The record is from the annotation of a GenBank genome assembly. NCBI's taxonomy places the organism in Eukaryota, Fungi, Ascomycota, Schizosaccharomycetes, Schizosaccharomycetales, Schizosaccharomycetaceae.